RNAcentral lists this unclassified non-coding RNA (206 nucleotides) under Hevea brasiliensis (rubber tree). The record is from RNAcentral. Lineage: Eukaryota; Viridiplantae; Streptophyta; Magnoliopsida; Malpighiales; Euphorbiaceae.
UGCAGAUGCACCCUCAAUGAACAAGCAGCAAGAUCCAGAAACAAUGUUACCGAGAUCAGUAUAAGGAAUAUCAAGCUGUGAAAAGGAUCCAUGUUCACAGUCCAGAAUUCCCAGAUGUGACCUCCCCUUCUGCCUGUAGCUACAGAUUAUGUUGCAGCCACCAUCUUUUUUAACAAAAUCAUAAGAACUGAUGCCAAAAACCCAUA